This 467-nucleotide ribosomal RNA is filed under the name uncultured bacterium. RNAcentral describes it as "partial 16S ribosomal RNA". It matches the Rfam family "Bacterial small subunit ribosomal RNA", at positions 28 to 506 of the family's 1533-position model. The record is from RNAcentral.
GACGAACGCUGGCGGCGUGCUUAACACAUGCAAGUCGAACGGAAAGGCCCUGCUUUUGUGGGGUGCUCGAGUGGCGAACGGGUGAGUAACACGUGAGUAACCUGCCCUUGACUUUGGGAUAACUUCAGGAAACUGGGGCUAAUACCGGAUAGGAGCUCCUGCUGCAUGGUGGGGGUUGGAAAGUUUCGGCGGUUGGGGAUGGACUCGCGGCUUAUCAGCUUGUUGGUGGGGUAGUGGCUUACCAAGGCUUUGACGGGUAGCCGGCCUGAGAGGGUGACCGGCCACAUUGGGACUGAGAUACGGCCCAGACUCCUACGGGAGGCAGCAGUGGGGAAUAUUGCACAAUAGGCGGAAGCCUGAUGCAGCAACGCCGCGUGCGGGAUGACGGCCUUCGGGUUGUAAACCGCUUUCGCCUGUGACGAAGCGUGAGUGACGGUAAUGGGUAAAGAAGCACCGGCUAACUACGU